RNAcentral lists this ribosomal RNA (1372 nucleotides) under uncultured bacterium. Its description in RNAcentral is "bacterial SSU rRNA". It matches the Rfam family "Bacterial small subunit ribosomal RNA", at positions 28 to 1381 of the family's 1533-position model. The record is from RNAcentral.
GAUGAACGCUGGCGGCGUGCCUAAUACAUGCAAGUCGAGCGAACGGACGAGAAGCUUGCUUCUCUGAUGUUAGCGGCGGACGGGUGAGUAACACGUGGAUAACCUACCUAUAAGACUGGGAUAACUUCGGGAAACCGGAGCUAAUACCGGAUAAUAUUUUGAACCGCAUGGUUCAAAAGUGAAAGACGGUCUUGCUGCCACUUAUAGAUGGAUCCGCGCUGCAUUAGCUAGUUGGUAAGGUAACGGCUUACCAAGGCAACGAUGCAUAGCCGACCUGAGAGGGUGAUCGGCCACACUGGAACUGAGACACGGUCCAGACUCCUACGGGAGGCAGCAGUAGGGAAUCUUCCGCAAUGGGCGAAAGCCUGACGGAGCAACGCCGCGUGAGUGAUGAAGGUCUUCGGAUCGUAAAACUCUGUUAUUAGGGAAGAACAUAUGUGUAAGUAACUGUGCACAUCUUGACGGUACCUAAUCAGAAAGCCACGGCUAACUACGUGCCAGCAGCCGCGGUAAUACGUAGGUGGCAAGCGUUAUCCGGAAUUAUUGGGCGUAAAGCGCGCGUAGGCGGUUUUUUAAGUCUGAUGUGAAAGCCCACGGCUCAACCGUGGAGGGUCAUUGGAAACUGGAAAACUUGAGUGCAGAAGAGGAAAGUGGAAUUCCAUGUGUAGCGGUGAAAUGCGCAGAGAUAUGGAGGAACACCAGUGGCGAAGGCGACUUUCUGGUCUGUAACUGACGCUGAUGUGCGAAAGCGUGGGGAUCAAACAGGAUUAGAUACCCUGGUAGUCCACGCCGUAAACGAUGAGUGCUAAGUGUUAGGGGGUUUCCGCCCCUUAGUGCUGCAGCUAACGCAUUAAGCACUCCGCCUGGGGAGUACGACCGCAAGGUUGAAACUCAAAGGAAUUGACGGGGACCCGCACAAGCGGUGGAGCAUGUGGUUUAAUUCGAAGCAACGCGAAGAACCUUACCAAAUCUUGACAUCCUUUGACAACUCUAGAGAUAGAGCCUUCCCCUUCGGGGGACAAAGUGACAGGUGGUGCAUGGUUGUCGUCAGCUCGUGUCGUGAGAUGUUGGGUUAAGUCCCGCAACGAGCGCAACCCUUAAGCUUAGUUGCCAUCAUUAAGUUGGGCACUCUAAGUUGACUGCCGGUGACAAACCGGAGGAAGGUGGGGAUGACGUCAAAUCAUCAUGCCCCUUAUGAUUUGGGCUACACACGUGCUACAAUGGACAAUACAAAGGGCAGCGAAACCGCGAGGUCAAGCAAAUCCCAUAAAGUUGUUCUCAGUUCGGAUUGCAGUCUGCAACUCGACUACAUGAAGCUGGAAUCGCUAGUAAUCGUAGAUCAGCAUGCUACGGUGAAUACGUUCCCGGGUCU